This 2083-nucleotide ribosomal RNA is filed under the name gut metagenome. RNAcentral describes it as "bacterial LSU rRNA". It matches the Rfam family "Bacterial large subunit ribosomal RNA", at positions 460 to 2542 of the family's 2925-position model. The record is from RNAcentral.
GUAAGGCUAAAUACUCUCUAAUGACCGAUAGUGAACAAGUACCGUGAGGGAAAGGUGAAAAGAACCCCGGGAGGGGAGUGAAAUAGAUACUGAAACCAUAUGCUUACAAAAAGUUCGAGCGCGUUAAUGCGUGAGAGCGUGCCUUUUGCAGAAUGAGCCGGCGAGUUAUGGUAUUGUGCGAGGUUAAGUGGCAAACACGGAGCCGAAGCGAGAGCGAGUCUGAAUAGGGCGCUUAGUACAAUGCUGUAGACCCGAAACCGAGUGAUCUAGCCAUGAGCAGGCUGAAGUAAGGGUGAAACCUUAUGGAGGGCCGAACCAGGACACGUUGUAAAGUGUUUGGAUGACUUGUGGCUAGCGGUGAAAUUCCAAUCGAACUCGGAUAUAGCUGGUUCUCCCCGAAAUAGGUUUAGGCCUAGCCUUGGAUUAAUGCCCACUGGAGGUAGAGCACUGAAUAUGGAAUGGCUGCGUCUAGCGGUACUGACUGUAAUCAACCUCCGAAUGCCAGUGAUAGUAGAUCCAGGAGUCAGUGUAUGAGGUGAUAACGUCCAUACGCGAGAGGAAAAUAAUCCAGAUCAUCAGCUAAGGUCCCCAAAUAUAUGUUAAGUGGAAAAGGAUGUGGGAACGCACAAACAGCUAGGAGGUUGGCUCAGAAGCAGCCACCCUUCAAAGAGUGCGUAAUAGCUCACUAGUCGAGUGUUCCUGCGCCGAAAAUGUACCGGGGCUAAACAUAUUACCGAAGCUAUGGAUUUGUAUUUAUACAAGUGGUAGGGGAGCGUUCUAAGGGCGCUGAAGGUAGAUCGUGAGGACUACUGGAGCGCUUAGAAGUGAGAAUGCCGGUGUGAGUAACGUAAGGAGGGUGAGAAUCCCUCCCACCAAUCGACCAAGGAUUCCAGGGUACGGUUCGUCUUCCCUGGGUUAGUCGGGACCUAAGAUGAGGCCGAGAGGCGUAGUCGAUGGACAACAGGUUCAUAUUCCUGUACCUGCUAUGUGACUGAUGGAGUGACGGAGAAGGAUAGUGAGAGCCUAUUAUUGGAUUUAGGUUUAAACACAAAGGUUUGUGCGUAGGCAAAUCCGCGACACUAUUAAGACUAAAGUGCGAUGACGACAGUUUCUACGGAAACUUAAGUCUCAUGAAUCCAUGCUUCCAAGAAAAACUUCUAAAGAUAUUGCAUAGUUGCCCGUACCAAGAACCAACACAGGUGGUCAAGGAGAGUAUCCUAAGGUGAGCGAGAUAACCAUGGGUUAAGGAACUCGGCAAAAUUGCCCCGUAACUUCGGGAUAAGGGGAGGUCACUUCGGUGACCCACAGAAAAGAGACCCAAGCAACUGUUUACCAAAAACACAGGUUUCUGCAAAAUCGUAAGAUGAUGUAUAGGAGCUGACGCCUGCCCAGUGCUGGAAGGUUAAGAGGAUGCGUUCGGUGGACGUAAGUCGAUAACACCAAAGCGUUGAAUUGAAGCCCCAGUGAACGGCGGCCGUAACUAUAACGGUCCUAAGGUAGCGAAAUUCCUUGUCAGGUAAAUUCUGACCCGCACGAAAGGCGUAAUGAUUUGGGUGCUGUCUCAACCAUGGACUCGGUGAAAUCUUAAUACCUGUGAAAAUGCAGGUUACCAGCGACAGGACGGAAAGACCCCAUGGAGCUUUACUGUAGCUUGAUAUUGGAUUCAGAAAGUUUUUGUAGAGGAUAGGUGGUAGACUUUGAUGCGUAGGCGCCAGUUUACGUUGAGUCGACCUUGGAAUACCACCCUUAAGCUUUUUGAAUUCUAACUUACUCCCGUUAUCCGGGAGGAGGACAGUGUCUGGUGGGCAGUUUGACUGGGGCGGUCGCCUCCCAAAAAGUAACGGAGGCGCCCAAAGGUUCCCUCAGGUUGGUCGGAAAUCAACCUUCGAGCGUAAUGGUAUAAGGGAGCUUAACUGCGAGACCAACAAGUCGAGCAGGUGCGAAAGCAGGGCAUAGUGAUCAGGCGGUUGAAUAUGGAAUUGCCGUCGCUUAACGGAUAAAAGUUACCCUGGGGAUAACAGGCUGAUACCACCCAAUAGUUCACAUAGACGGUGGUGAUUGGCACCUCGAUGUCGGCUCGUCA